Molecule: transfer RNA, 69 nt
Filed under: Marmota monax (woodchuck)
Lineage: Eukaryota; Metazoa; Chordata; Mammalia; Rodentia; Sciuridae
Description: tRNA.Ala
Source: RNAcentral
GUUUGUGGCUAAGUGGUAGAGCACUUGCCUAGCAUGUCUGAGGCACUGGGUUCCAUUCUCAGCACUACA